UGAGCACUAUCCCAAAUCAGAGAUACCUUCACUUCUUCUUCUUCUUCCAAAAAAAAUAAUAAUAAUAAUAAAAAAAUAAAAAAAUAAAAAUAAAAAUGGGUUUAUAAGGAGGCCCUUGUAAAAUUAAUAUCCAUCUUCAUCAUCCUGAUCUUGCAUCCCUUGUGGCUUCUUCCCAUGAAUCCCAUCUCUGAUCUCCAAGUGCUCAAUUAAAACUCUGGAUUGUCUCUUGAAUCUUGCAGCUGGUCAUUAAGCAACAGGAUAAUGGACUGAAGCUGCCAUCGACCACGACCAAAUAACAUGAAGAACAAGUUCUUAAGUGGGAAAACAACAUAAUAUAGAACAAAAUAACCAUAGAAAGUGCCAAAGAGAGAAAGAAACAACUAGUAGUAAUCUGAUCUUAGAGUUGAGAAGAAUUGUGGACAUAGAGAUGAAUGCCAAAGUAGCUGAUAAGUAUGUGAAAGCUUGAGCUUAACCUCUGGAACUUCAAAGGGAGAACCAUGACAUUAGAUAUUAAUGAAGAACAGAAAAGAAAUAGUGUAGACGGUGAAGACCUUUCUUGAAUAUUGAAUAAAAAGAUGAUGAUGAUGGUGGUGGUGAUGAAGAAGUUAAACAUAGUGCUAAGUGGGCAGCAAUGGACUGAACUGCAAAGGCAAAGAGGCUCUUAUUCAAAGCUCGGAGUGAUGCUUUUUGGCAGGGUUUGGUUUCAGGACGACAUUCUGUUCGAGGGAGUUAUCCUUGCAUCUGGGAUGGCUCCAUCUUUUUGCCUUUGCUUACAGCCAGCUUUGAUUAAAAACCAGCCAUGCCCGACGGAAGGAAGACUCCCUCGAACAGAACACCGUACGCACACCAGGAGCGAUAAAUAACAGAAGCACCCAAUUCUCAGUUUAUCCUUAGUUUCUAAUCAGCAAUUCUAAUCAAAUACUAAUGAGCAAUCCCAUUAUUCCGAUGAGGCAACCACCCCCAUUUCAGCCCACCCUUUCAUCAUAAACAUCAGCUGUCCUGAAGCCAAACCCUCCCAAAAGUCAUCACUCCAAGCUUUGAAUAAGAGCCCCUUGCCUUUGCAGUUCAGUCCAUUGCUGCCCUCGUAGCUCUAUGCGUCAAUUCUUCAUCAUCAUCGUCAUCUUUUUAUUCAAGAAAGGUCUUCACCAUGUCUACACUUGUUCUUUUCUGUUCUUCAUUAAUAUCUACUGCCAUGGUUCUCCCUUCGAAGUUCGAAGUUCCAGGGGUUAGCUCAUGCUUUCCCAUACUCAUCAGCUACUUUGGCAUUCAUCUCUAUGUCCACAAUUCUUCUCAACUCUAAGAUCAGAUUACUACUUGUUGUUUCUCUCUCUUUGGCACUUUUCUACUUUUGUUUUUUUUUUUGUCUAUAUUCUGUCCGAAAAGUUACUAUUAGUUUUUUCACUUAUGAACUUGUUCUUCAUGCUAUUCGGUCUUCGUCAACGACAGCUACAAAGUAAUCAUAUAUUGAGGAUCACAGAAGAAUGAUAUAAUGAUGCUGAUGCAGUAAUUUAAUGUCAUGUGUGUAAUGCAUUGUGUCUCUAUUUUUCCAUUAAUAAAGUUGUUGGUAUAGCCCAAAUGGUAUUAGUUUCUUAUGUUAAUAAAUUCAUAUAAGGUUGUGUUUGAUUGUAUGUGUUGGAAUUCUCAUCAUAAAUGGAAUUACUUUUGCUUUUAA
Long non-coding RNA from Dioscorea cayenensis subsp. rotundata (Guinea yam), 1672 nucleotides. RefSeq lists it as uncharacterized. The record is from RefSeq and is a predicted model, not a curated record. The transcript is spliced from 4 exons. Lineage: Eukaryota; Viridiplantae; Streptophyta; Magnoliopsida; Dioscoreales; Dioscoreaceae.